UCAAGCGAACAAGGGCGCAGGGCGAAUGCCUUGGCACUGGGAGCCGAUGAAAGACGUGAUAAGCUGCGAUAAGCUUCGGGGAGCUGCAAAUAAGCAUUGAUCCGGAGAUUUCUGAAUGAGGAAACUCACCUGGGUUCAUACUCAGGUACAAUGCACUGAAAUUUAAAAUAGGUGUAUUGAGGGAACCGCCUGAACUGAAACAUCUAAGUAGGGCGAGGAAGAGACAUCAAACGAGAUUCCGUAAGUAGUGGCGAGCGAACGCGGAAGAGGGCAAACCGAGAGUAGAAAUACUUUCGGGGUACGGACUGCUUUUAAGACUCAAUCUGUUAACCGAACGGCAUGGGAAGGCCGGUCAGAGAGUGUGAGAACCACGUAGGUGAAAACGGAGAGAGCUGCGCAGGAUCCAGAGUACGGCCAGACACGUGAAACCUGGUCGGAAUACGGGGGGACCACCCUCCAACCCUAAAUACUACCCAGUGACCGAUAGCGUAUAGUACUGUGAAGGAAAGGUGAAAAGCACCCCGGGAGGGGAGUGAAAAAGAACCUGAAACCCUGUGCCUACAAGCACCUAGAGCGCGUCAAAGCGUGAUAGGGUACUUUUUGUAGAACGGUCCGGCGAGCGAUUGUAUGCAGCAAGGUUAAGGACUUAAGGUCUGGAGCCGAAGCGAAAGCGAGUUUGAAAAGGGCGUUAAGUUGCAUAUAAUGGGCCCGAAACCGGGUGACCUACCCAUGGUCAGGUUGAAGUGGAAGUAAAAUUCCAUGGAGGACCGAACCGACCUCCGUUGAAAAGGCGGCGGAUGAACUGUGGGUAGCGGAGAAAUUCCAAUCGAACCCGGAGAUAGCUGGUUCUCCCCGAAAUAGUUUUAGGACUAGCCUCAAGUUAGAUACCUGGAGGUAAAGCACUGAAUAGCCUAGCGGCCGAGAGGUUAGCGAAGCUUAUCAAACUCAGAAUGCCAGAGUAUUGAUGCUUGGGAGUCAGACAGUGUCAGAUAAAUGUCAUUGUCAAAAGGGAAACAGCCCAGAUCUACAGCUAAGGUCCCAAAGUCAGGUUAAGUGGAAAACGAUGUGAAGAUACGCAGACAACCAGGAUGUUGGCUCAGAAGCAGCCACUCAUUCAAAGAGUGCGUAAUAGCUCACUGGUCGAGCGUCUUUGCGCGGAGAAUUUAACGGGGCUAAACCUGACACCGAAGCUUAGGCAAUGCACGUAAGUGUAUUGGGUAGGGGAGCGUUGUAUACGCGGAGAAACAGUAGCGCAAGCGGCUGUGGAGUGUAUAGAAGUGAGAAUGCCGGAAUGAGUAGCGCGAAUGCAGUGAGAAUCUGCAUGGCCGAAAGCCUCAGGUUUCUGGAGGAAGGUUCGUCCGCUCCAGGUUAGUCGGGAGCUAAGGUGAGGCCGAAAGGCGUAGCCGAUGCACAGACGGUAGAGAUUCCGUCACCACCAAAAGAGUUAAGCACAGGGACACAUAUGAAGUCUCAGAGCCGGGUGUUGGUUCCGGUAGAGAUCGAGGGAAAUUAGUACCGAAGUCUGAGAUGGAAGAUGGCGAGAAAAGCUGUGUGUAUUUCUGAGGUGCCCGUACCGCAAACCGACACAGGUAGGUAGGAAGAAGAUUCUAAGGCCAACGGGAGAAGGGUUGUUAAGGAACUCGGCAAAUUGACCCCGUAACUUCGGGAGAAGGGGUGCUCCAGAGAUGGAGCCGCAGAGAAUCGGCCCAAGCAACUGUUUACCAAAAACACAGGUUUGUGCUAAAUCGAAAGAUGACGUAUACGAGCUGACGCCUGCCCGGUGCUGGAAGGUUAAGAGGAGAUGUGCAAGCAUUGAAUCGAAGCCCCAGUGAACGGCGGCCGUAACUAUAACGGUCCUAAGGUAGCGAAAUUCCUUGUCAGGUAAG
RNAcentral lists this ribosomal RNA (1886 nucleotides) under human gut metagenome. Its description in RNAcentral is "bacterial LSU rRNA". It matches the Rfam family "Bacterial large subunit ribosomal RNA", at positions 3 to 1980 of the family's 2925-position model. The record is from RNAcentral.